AAAACGUUAAAGUAAGUUCGGACGGGCCCCGCACAAGCAGCGGAGCGUGUGGUUUAAUUCGAUGAUACACGAAGAACCUUACCAGGGUUUGACAUGCUAGUGGUAGGGAUCCGAAAGGUGACCGACCCUCGGGGAGCUAGCACAGGCGCUGCAUGGCUGUCGUCAGCUCGUGUCGUGAGAUGUUCGGUUAAGUCCGCUAACGAGCGCAACCCUUGCUGUGUGUUACAUGUGUCACACGGGACUGCCGGUCUUAAACCGGAGGAAGGUGGGGAUGACGUCAAGUCAGCAUGGCCUUUAUGUCCUGGGCUACACACACGCUACAGUGGCCGGUACAAUAGGUUGCGAAGCCGCGAGGCGGAGCCAAUCCUCAAAGCCGGCCUCAGUUCAGAUUGCAGGCUGCAACCCGCCUGCAUGAAGAUGGAGUUGCUAGUAACCGCAGGUCAGCUAUACUGCGGUGAAUACGUUCCCGGGGCUU
RNAcentral lists this ribosomal RNA (475 nucleotides) under uncultured Levilinea sp. Its description in RNAcentral is "bacterial SSU rRNA". It matches the Rfam family "Bacterial small subunit ribosomal RNA", at positions 916 to 1381 of the family's 1533-position model. The record is from RNAcentral. Lineage: Bacteria; Bacillati; Chloroflexota; Anaerolineae; Anaerolineales; Anaerolineaceae.